GACGAACGCUGGCGGCGUGCUUAACACAUGCAAGUCGAACGAUGAACCCGGAGCUUGCUCCGGCGGAUUAGUGGCGAACGGGUGAGUAACACGUGAGUAACCUGCCCUUGACUCUGGGAUAACUGCUAGAAAUGGUAGCUAAUACCGGAUACGACCCUCGGCGGCAUCGCCAGGGGGUGGAAAGAAUAUCGGUCAAGGAUGGACUCGCGGCCUAUCAGCUAGUGGGUGAGGUAACGGCUAACCAAGGCGACGACGGGUAGCCGUCCGGAGAGGGUGAGCGGCCACACUGGGACUGAGACGCGGCGCAGACUCCUACGGGAGGCAGCAGUGGGGAAUUUUGGACAAUGGGGGCAACCCUGAUCCAGCAAUGCCGCGUGAGUGAAGAAGGCCUUCGGGUUGUAAAGCUCUUGUGUCAGGGAAGAAACAGCAGCUCUAACACAGUCUGCGAAUGACGGUACCUGAAGAAUAAGCACCGGCUAAC
RNAcentral lists this ribosomal RNA (481 nucleotides) under uncultured bacterium. RNAcentral's name for it is "partial 16S ribosomal RNA". It matches the Rfam family "Bacterial small subunit ribosomal RNA", at positions 28 to 501 of the family's 1533-position model. The record is from RNAcentral.